CACGGCGAUCCUCCCGCCUCAGCCUCCGGAGUGCAGGGUCUCCCAAGACGCUAAGCCGCCCAGGCUGGGCUGGAACUCGAGAUCCUCCUGCCUCAGCCUCCGGGACAGCUGGGAGCACAGGCGGACGCCACCCCCGCCUCUGAAGUGACUUGAAAACAUUCUCCGAGACCCCACGCUCACCGGCCCGGCUGAGGACAUCUGGGGACUGGUGUGCUCGUGUCCAGAGCCCGGGUCCCCUCUCUGUCCCCAGCACAGAUGUCCAGGUGCGCGGGACGGUGGCCUGGAGGAGGGGCAGGGACCCCCAGACUCUGCUCAGGAUUCAAUUGCCGGCCGGCGUGGUGCCCUCCACUCAGGAGGCUGAGGCAGGAGGAUCCCAGCCCUCAGGAGGCUGAGGCAGGAGGAUUGCAGCGAGUUCCAGGCCCGCCUGGGCUACAUAGAGAGAUGCACGCGGCCGGGAGCUGUGACACCCGUCUCUGUCAGACGCCCCAGCCCUGGAGGACGCCGUGUCCCUAAAUCCACUCAGCACGCGAUGCCGAUUAUGGCUGUGAUGGAGGAGGACGUGUCCCCUCCCAAAGUCAUCCUGUCCGUGAAUAUUGCGCCCCUAAACUUUGUUCCCGGCUCUCCGCAACACCUGGCUCCUGGGUUGCCCUGGCUGGCAGUUGGCCCGGGUUCUGGCGGGAUUCGGGAGCCAAGCAGGAAGCUGAUGGAGAAUGGGUGUGGUGAGGGCGAGGGCAGGGGCAGCCACUUUGGUGUGCAGAGGAAAAAAAAAAAAAA
This is a long non-coding RNA of Fukomys damarensis (Damara mole-rat), 774 nucleotides long. RefSeq lists it as uncharacterized. Lineage: Eukaryota; Metazoa; Chordata; Mammalia; Rodentia; Bathyergidae. The record is from RefSeq and is a predicted model, not a curated record. The transcript is spliced from 2 exons.